UACGAAGGGUGCAAGCGUUACUCGGAAUUACUGGGCGUAAAGCGUGCGUAGGUGGUUCGUUAAGUCUGAUGUGAAAGCCCUGGGCUCAACCUGGGAAUGGCAUUGGAAACUGGCGACCUAGAGUGCGGUAGAGGGUAGUGGAAUUCCCGGUGUAGCAGUGAAAUGCGUAGAGAUCGGGAGGAACAUCCGUGGCGAAGGCGACUACCUGGACCAGCACUGACACUGAGGCACGAAAGCGUCGGGAGCAAACAGG
Molecule: ribosomal RNA, 253 nt
Filed under: uncultured bacterium
Lineage: Bacteria
Description: partial 16S ribosomal RNA
Rfam family: Bacterial small subunit ribosomal RNA
Source: RNAcentral